UGAGCAAUCUGCCCUUCUCAUCGGAAUAAGCGUUGGAAACGACGUCUAAUGCCGAAUACGACCUCCUUUCGCAUGAUCGGAGGUGGAAAGCUCCGGCGGAGAAGGAUGAGCUCGCGGCCUAUCAGCUAGUUGGUGUGGGUAAUGGCCCACCAAGGCGACGACGGGUAGCUGGUCUGAGAGGAUGGCCAGCCACAUUGGGACUGAGACACGGCCCAGAUCCGUACGGG
RNAcentral lists this ribosomal RNA (227 nucleotides) under uncultured bacterium. RNAcentral's name for it is "partial 16S ribosomal RNA". It matches the Rfam family "Bacterial small subunit ribosomal RNA", at positions 118 to 345 of the family's 1533-position model. The record is from RNAcentral.